Penaeus monodon (black tiger shrimp) is the source of this 475-nucleotide long non-coding RNA. RefSeq lists it as uncharacterized. The transcript is spliced from 3 exons. The record is from RefSeq and is a predicted model, not a curated record. Lineage: Eukaryota; Metazoa; Arthropoda; Malacostraca; Decapoda; Penaeidae.
GUCAAGGCUGCCUCUCCGCCGUCCAGGGCCAAGGGCGCUGAAGCAUCUUGGGGAAGUUUAGUCUCCCUCUUAAACACAACAUUGAUGAACCGGCGCAGACCGUGACGGCAGUGAAAAGCGUAAAUCAGUUCAUCAGAUCAGCAGUGAGACCAGUGAUGGCAAUAAAGGAAAAGCCGCUUAUCAGAACGGCGGCGUAGCAACAGCGGUGAACACUAUCCUGUGCUUCUGUGCAACAAGUGACAGCAUGCACGCCGAGGACGCCCAUCAGCAUCAUGGCUUGGACGCCCAUCACCGCCCACCACGGGACGCCGGGGAAGCUGCCCAGAAAGAGGGGAAGUUGCUGUGGAACGGCAGCAGAAGGUGGUUCUCGGAGUGCAUGAAGGCAAAGACGUGAGCGCCCGUGACCAACAGCAUGACGAAGAGCUUGGUGAGGGCGCCGAUGCGGGGGAAGACAGCCGCCACGCCGAUGGAGAUC